Mizuhopecten yessoensis (Yesso scallop) is the source of this 444-nucleotide long non-coding RNA. RefSeq lists it as uncharacterized. Lineage: Eukaryota; Metazoa; Mollusca; Bivalvia; Pectinida; Pectinidae. The transcript is spliced from 3 exons. The record is from RefSeq and is a predicted model, not a curated record.
AGCCCAUUAAUCGAGACCAAGAAAGUUAUCAGCAAAUAGAGAUGAAUAGCCAACUAGUAUUCACCAUUGUGUUAGCGACAGUAGGUCUGAUGUUCCUUGGUACUGCCCCGGUAGACGGUUUUCAACGUCCACUCCACUGCCAAUGUAUCACCAGUCCAUGUAAACCACCCGCGAUUGAUAUAAAAAGAUUUUGUCAUUCAAAGUGUGGAGGACAUGGAAGAGUAUGUUGUACUGGUAUCCACCACCACGGGUAGUUCCCCACGAUCGAUUUAUUAAUUCAAUGUAUGAUUAAAAGAGAGGACUUCAUAAUGAAAGUUCUUCAAGAAGAAAGCGUAUGCAGCUUAAACGCUUCUAGGCGCAAACAAUGUAAUGGAUUGCGAUAUUAUACUUGAAUGAAAUAAAUGAGUGAAAUAACUACUCAAUAAACCGUUGUCAUUUAUGAAA